UUAGGUAGCUAGCUAGCUAGCAAGGCUAUUCGGAUCUCGCUAGCUAGCCAGCAACCUACAGCACAAACCCAGAACCGGGUAGCUAACGCUAACUGUUUAACAUACAGUUUGCUAGCUAGCUAGGUAGCUACGUGUCAUAAAUAUGCAGCUGACUGGACCGUCCGUGAAGCGUGCACUGCGUCGACAGCAACCCAUUUAUUGAUUAAAACUAAAUGUCAACGGGCGAAAAGUGACUGCGGUUAGGCCGCUCGCCGGCCUACAGCCUACGGGUGCGAGUAGCAGCUCCGAGCCGCGGACUGAGCUCCCCGCGUCGGCGCAGGAUCCUGAGACAUGGGGCCCAGAAUAAUCAUCAAAUUAAAUGUGCCCGUAAGCGAUGCAAAUCGGCACAUCCGUUCUACAAAAACGGGUGUUUUGGACCCAUCUGACUGGGCUCUUUAACUUUACAGCGUAGCUUCCAUUGACUGCUGUUUUUUUUUUCCGCAGUUAGAUCCUGCAGCAGCUCCAGGAAGUACGUGCUCCCUCAAAUUCGGCCCCUCCAGCUUUCUCAGAUUUGAUGGCCUGCGUCCACGGGGACACUGUAUCUGCAACGUAAAACAGUUUUCAAGGCUGAAGCACCCAUGGGAACGUUCCUAUGAGAAGAAAGCUGCUCCGAGAAGUACACGGCGGAUCUCAUGUACAGUCCAGCAGAACACCGUUCAAAUCAAACCAGUCACCCCUUCCCAGCUGGGAGACGGCCACUUUCCGCUCUCUCAUGGCUGGCAGCUG
Long non-coding RNA from Megalops cyprinoides (Indo-Pacific tarpon), 765 nucleotides. RefSeq lists it as uncharacterized. Lineage: Eukaryota; Metazoa; Chordata; Actinopteri; Elopiformes; Megalopidae. The record is from RefSeq and is a predicted model, not a curated record. The transcript is spliced from 3 exons.